Molecule: non-coding RNA, 224 nt
Organism: Pelobates cultripes (western spadefoot toad)
Lineage: Eukaryota; Metazoa; Chordata; Amphibia; Anura; Pelobatidae
Source: the annotation of a GenBank genome assembly
CAAAGAAGCAAGGUGCAUACAUAUUUCUGCUCGUUCUGGGUGACCUCAUGCUAUCUUGAGAUUAACGUUUUUUAUUGUCCGCUAAUCACAAGGAAUCACUUAUUGCAGGGGGUGUUUUGCUAGGGGAAGUAAAAUCUAAAUCCUAACCUUAUAGUAUAGUUAAAGGGAUGUUCAGACACCAUAACUAUUUCAUCACAAUUAAGAAAUCUUGUGAGAAGAGCUUG